Molecule: long non-coding RNA, 4155 nt
Organism: Miniopterus natalensis
Lineage: Eukaryota; Metazoa; Chordata; Mammalia; Chiroptera; Miniopteridae
Source: RefSeq, a predicted model, not a curated record
AAAAAAAUUAAAAUAUAUUUUGUAAUUUUAAGGGAAAAUAUUUUUUUCCUAUAAUAUUAAGUCAAAUAUCAUGACUAUAAAUGUGACUAUAUUAAUUUAAAUAACACAAACGCAAGACACAGUACAGCAAAGCACUUGAAAAGAAAAUGUUUUUAUUGAUUUGAGAGAGAGAGGAAGGGAAUGAGAUAGAAACACUGGCUGCCUCCUACACGGAGCCUGCAACCAGGACAUGUGCCCUGGCAGGGAACUGAACACCGACCUCUUGGUGCUUGGGUCAGCGCUCACCCACUGAGCCACUCCUGCCAGGCGCAAAGCAUUUUUUAAAAUACAAAACACAGUGGGGAAACGGGCUCAGUCUUCUCAGUAAACAAAUAGGAAUUCUAGUGCAAUUUCUCAACUGCCCGACUCAAGGAGGUAAGUAGCUUAUGGUGAUUUUUAGUCUGGCACAGUGACAACUUGCUUUUUAUUCUGUUUGGAUCUUAUUUUACAUAAUCCCAACUGGUUUUUCCCCUAAGCAGAUGUGUGCUGCUUCCUUUUGUUUGUUUACUAGCAUUUUCCUUAUUCCAUAAAAGAUAUUUUAGGUAAGUCUGGGUCUCUGCCUCUCAGCUCUCCCGUGUCUGCAGGCACGACUACAAUAGUGCAGAGACCAGGAAACAUGUUCUGCGUUCCUCAGACUUUCAAGUCACCUGUCCCUGCAGGCGCGGUCACAGCACUGCCUGCGCUGCGGGCUUAACAUUUCCAAGCUGACGGCCCACUGACAAGGGGCAGCGACAUGGGGCCGUCAGUAUGCUAAGAUGUACAUAGCUUGGCCACGUCUCGUGCUAGGAAGACUUUGUUAAAAAAUUUUAAUAUUGAUUUAUUCCUUCAAAUACAUUAUCUGAACAUUCAAACUUCUUAAACUUUAGGAACAAAAUUUUCACAUUCAAAGUAUAGUUUACAAGGAACACACCCAGGAAGGUAAUUUGUUGUCUGACCCAGGAUAUGGAUAAAGAUGAUGAAUAAAAUGUAUUUUACCAGCAGUUCUGCUCUGGCCAACAUCUUGGUUAAUGACCAUGGUUUCAUAUGUGAGAAGAAGCUGCUAAAUAAAUCUUAGGCUAAACAACAGACUUGGCCUGUAAUUCAGAGGGAAUAUUCGAAGCAUGUGAGUGAACAAAUAAACUGUUUUUGGGAGACAAAGUAAAAACUUGUCCAUUAUAAUAAUCUUAGCUUCUGGAAGGUAAAGUUUGAAUUUUCAGUGUUUUACUCACUUUAAAAAACAAAACAAACUCCAAGUUAGGUUUUCUUGGAGUCUUUGGUGUUUGCAUCUUGCAAAUUCAAACCAUGAAUGUGCUUCUGUCUUCCAUGUACACUGCUUCUAGGAAGCACAUCACCAAGUCACUGACUUCCUCACCUCAUAAAAGACACAUUUUAGCUUCAAGAUUUUAGAUUUGCGAGAAAUAGCCUAUACUUGAGUAUGUAUGUCAAUCAUGCUACACAAAGAACAUUUCUAAAGUGUUCAGAAACUGUUCACAAAUGCUUUUUUUCAUCAGGUAGCUUUGCAGUAGGUUGACUAAUGCAAGUCUCUAUGAAAAUCUAAAGAUUGUCUCAUGCAAGUGUUUUGAAUUAGAUAACCCCGUGGAAGAGUAGUCGGAAUUAUUUUGUCUUGUGGGCUCUGAGGCUGCGCGACAUGGAAGUGGACGCUGGCUGUGCAGGUCACUGACAUAUGCCACCAUCAGCUUAUGCCUCUCUGACACACAGUCCAAUACUAGAUACCAUUUUUCAUUCUGCAUUAAUUUUUCUGUAUCUUUCAGGUGCUGGUCAGAUUCUUGGAUUAACUUUUUAGAUCUGUUCUGUAGACGAACAGAGGACUUCAAUCUGCACGACUGACUACCAACCCUAGCCUCUUAUCACAAAGUUUCACUUUGACUAAAUUAACCGUUACACAUUUGGUUUCUUUCAAAAGUGUCCUGAAGUCCACUUCUUUCUCUAAUGUAUUCUUCAAACUGUUUUCCUGCCACUGGAGAACCUACUGUACUGAAGAUCUUCCCUAAUGAUUCAUUGAACUUCUACAUGGACGUUAAGAUCUAGAUUCCCAGUGGUGAUCUUUUCGAGUAUCAGAUCAUGACACAUCUGAAGAACCUUCCCUAACAACCCUGAGGGGUAAUGCAGAAGGAUUUUUCAAGAAAGUUCCAGUUAUCUCCUGAGGCCUUCACCUGACCUGCAGAGACAGUGCUUUCCUUGGAACAGAACUGCCCUGUGUCUUCCAUUUGGCGACUGAUCCCUGCUCAGAGGAGGGCACGGCUCAGCUAUGAUUUUGGACCCAUCUUUGAAAAGAUCUAGGUGAGUAACAUGCAGCAAAAUAAGCAGCUCACACAAAGGCUCAGCCAAUUUUCCCACCAGUUAUUAAUGAAUCGGAGGAACUGCAUUCAUACCAAACUUCAGAAACUCAUUGUAGAUAACAACAUGACAGCAGGCUAAGGAACACCACACUGCCUGUGCAGCAGAAAUGGCAACCCAGAGCCGGCGUAAUAAGCGGGUUCAUGUGGCUGCCACCUUUCCAGCUGUCUCUCCAGUUCCUGUCUUAGCUCAUCGACAUCUUUUAAAAAGGGCUAAGAAGAAAAAACUACAGAUGAGAGGCAGCCCAGGUUAGAAUUGCCAACUCACUGUCUGUCUGCCUUCUUCCCUGCAGUAUGAAGUCCAAGUACAUAUCCCCCAAGACAUAAAACUUAAGCAAAUUUAAGGCCACAGUAAGAAGGUGCCAGACAACAAUUCUUCUGUUUUCCAUUUGUUGAGACACAAUGGAUAAAGGAAAUUUUAACAUUUAUAAACCAAACCCAGCAAAACAAAACCAAAUCCCCAAGAAGACGACUGCCAUCAAGUCAAACAAUUGGGGAAAACAAGUCAGUUACUCACUUCUCCCUAAAUGUAGACAUUAAGUCAAAGAUUCCUGCAGCUUAACCGACAUAAACUGUUAACUGUCCUGCAGACUCCUUGUACAAGGACAGUGGACUUGAGAAGAGAGAUGUGAGAGCUGGCGGCCCGAGGACCAGACCUACCAUCACCCAGGGCAGGGCACAGAUUACCCACUGUGACCCUGGGAUUAACCGUUAGAACAGUGUUUUAUCUGCUUAGAGAACACCUGUCAUACCAACAGUGAUCCUAAAAAUUUUGAUAAGGAUGAUACCCCAAAACAAACAGCUAUUCCAUCAAGUUUUAAAGACAAAGAUUUGAAAGGAAUCUAUAAUUACAUUUUGUCAACUUACUAAAGCAGUAACUUGUGAAAGGUUCCCCCCUCCCCCCCCUUAAUCAACCCACCUCUACUUUUGAAAGUUUUAGUACCUGGAAAAUCGUGUCCACAAGGAAGUGAUGGGCUGUAUGAAUGGUCGAAUCUCGGCUUCUCUCUGGUUUCUCAUUCUCUGUCUCCUUGUGGAAUUUGUCUGUCCUGGGGUCUUGGUCUUCCUCUGUUUUAACACUUUUGGUCUCCAUUUCCAUCUCAUCAAAGCCUAUUUUCAUACAAAGAUAGAGUUUUACUUACCUUAAUAUUAGCAUAAAGACUGAGCCUUCAUGGUUGCCUGUCAAUUCUAACAAUUACUCAAACUUCACUCAUUCCCUUCAGCACAUCUCCACAUGUUGGUUCCACAUGUUCUUUCUCUGAAACAGUCAUUACCAAUUCUUACUCCCCUAACUCCUCUGCACCCUGAUGUUGAGGUGGCUGUUCUGCAGAAGUGGGAAUAGGGGAGACUGUAAUUUAUGUUGACAAGCCCCAAAGAACUGUGUGAUUCUUUAAACUAUGUGCAUGUAGAACUUUGAAAACUAAAAACUAAAAGAAAUCAUAGUUCCAUUUUAUAGACGAAGAAACUGAGGCAAAGAAAAGAUGAAUAAUUUGCCUUAAUCUGUGAAGUCAGUAAGAGGCAAAGUCUGGGUUUGAAACUAUGCAAGUCUGAUCACAGAGCUGUGCCUUUCCCACUGUCAUAUCAUGGCCAAUCAGCAGUACUAACACCCCUGAGAGGGCAGGAAGGAAGAAGAAAAAGCUUUUGAAUUUGGCACGUUCUUUUGAAUUUGCAUUUAUUCCAUUACUGACAGUAAAUUUUUACACUGCCAAUAUUUUUAAUGUGUUGAAUAUAUUUUAAAAAUAAACUUGUAAUAGUCAUUGGUCAACUAUGAAAUUGAACUGUA